GACGAACGCUGGCGGCGUGCCUAAUACAUGCAAGUAGAACGCACAGUUUAUACCGUAGCUUGCUACACCAUAGACUGUGAGUUGCGAACGGGUGAUUAACGCGUAGGUAACCUGCCUGGUAGCGGGGGAUAACUAUUGGAAACGAUAGCUAAUACCGCAUAAUAUUGAUUAUUGCAUGAUAAUUGAUUGAAAGAUGCUAUUGCAUCACUACCAGAUGGACCUGCGUUGUAUUAGCUAGUAGGUGAGGUAACGGCUCACCUAGGCGACGAUACAUAGCCGACCUGGGAGGGUGAGCGGCCACACUGGGACGGAGACACGGCCCAGACGCCUACGGGAGGCAGCAGUAGGGAAUCUUCGGCAAUGGACGAAAGUCUGACCGAGCAACGCCGCGUGAGUGAAGAAGGUUUUCGGAUCGUAAAGCUCUGUUGUAAGAGAAGAACGGGUGUGAGAGUGGAAAGUUCACACUGUGACGGUAUCUUACCAGAAAGGGACGGCUAACUACGUG
Molecule: ribosomal RNA, 505 nt
Filed under: uncultured bacterium
Lineage: Bacteria
Description: partial 16S ribosomal RNA
Rfam family: Bacterial small subunit ribosomal RNA
Source: RNAcentral